UAAACGGCCCUUUUCAGGGCCCCCAAUUAAAUUCAGCUAAAGGAAU
Molecule: non-coding RNA, 46 nt
Organism: Apis mellifera (honey bee)
Lineage: Eukaryota; Metazoa; Arthropoda; Insecta; Hymenoptera; Apidae
Source: Rfam